CCACACAUUAUUAUAUAUGUAAAAUGUAAAUAGAAGCUACAUCAUUAUUUCAUGAAAUAACAUCAUAGAGAAUGUGAUAGCAGAGUUCAUUCUCAGCAAUAUAUGUGAAACUAAUUAGGAAUCAAACUGUCUUCAAUAGUUAGAUGGAGGUGGAGGUAUGAAAGGAAUGGAAGGCAAGCUGCUGCUGGGAAGUGGUGGAAGAAUAGUGAUAAGCUUAGGCUAAGAUGGUGGGAUUGUUGGUAGCUUUGGGAUUCAAGGCAAUAUAGGAGGAAGUGGUGGAAUUGGUACGCUGGGAAGUGGUGGAAGAAUGGGGGUAGGGUUAGGAAGUGGUGGAAUUGGUACUGGUACUCUAGGAAGUGGUGGAAGACUGGGGGUAAGGUUAGGAAGUGGUGGAAUUGGUAAUCUGGGAAGUGGUGGAAUUGGGAAUCCAGGAAGUGGUGGAAGAAUGGGGGGAAGUGGUGGAAUUGGUGGAAUUGGUGGAAUUGGUGGAAUAGUUACUUGCUGAAGAUUUCGAGCUGCUAGGCUAACCUCCAUGCUUGAAAAACCCAACAAAAUGAAACAAGCUAAUAAAAUGAAAACGUUGGAACCUGCCAUUUUUUUUGGAGAGAUGAACUAAAGAUUGAAGAUUUGAGUUGAGGUUUGCAUUGAGGAAAGCAGGAUUGCUUUUCAGGUAUUUAUAGCCACAUUUGAAAGACUUAAUUAAUUAUUUGUUUGAGAUAUUAUUCCCCUACUUAGCAUACUACCUUUUCUCACCCAUCUGUCAUCACCAACAAAAAGAAGAAGAAGAUAAAUUAGACUCAUCCUUAAACUUAAAAAUAUUCUGAAUGAGUCGAUUUGUCUAAUGUUAGUUAAAAAUUAAAUGCUUUUAAAUUUUGUGUGAACUAUAUCUUUCUAUUUCCAUUUACCUAAUGCCAGUUAAAAAAUAAAUAUUUUUUUAUAUAAUGAGUGUAUAUUUGACUUACGUAUGUGGCGCUCUAUUAAAAAAAAAAUUAAAUUAGGUGGAUCAAAUUUAAAUAUUAGAUAACUAUACAUGUUGGUACUUAAACUUGGUAUUUAAGAUUUUUUGUUGUCCAAUUAAAGGUUGAAUUUAAAUUAGAUAGUUGAACUUGAUUUCUUAGUUCAAAUUCCAAGCUUAGAUACCAAAAUGUUUGGUAUAAUAUUAAAUUAAAAAAAUUCAAGAUGUAAAAUACUAAUUUAACAUUUAAACUAGUUGCCCCAUACAGCUACAAUGGUAAUGAUAGAAGAAAAGUAAUUGAAUGGGAUUAGGAGAUGAAGAUCCUAGUAAAGCCACCUCUAGAGGUAUGAGAGUUGCGACCACUCUAUAAUUGAAUGCUACAAAAAUGGUUAUAUCUAGGAAUCUUUCGCCAUUAGCUAAUAAUGGAAAUAGCUAUGUAUCACUUAAAAAACAACAAUUCAUAUUUUCUUGAAAUAUAUUCAAAAAAUUGAAAAAUAUAAAAAAUAUCAUUUUUCUAAAAAUCCAAAAAUUUUAUGUGAAUAUCAACAAAUUCAGAAACUAAAAGAUAUGGAAAGCUUUAAAGUUUUUCCAAAAAGAUAGAAAUUUGCAGAAAAUUAGGUAUUUAAGAUUCCAAUAUUUUUAUUUCCCUUCUUUCCUGAUUGGAGAAAAUAUGAAUUAGGUGACGCCAUCGUUAACAAUUGGGGCAAGGUAAGACACGGUUGGAAACUUCAAGUAGGUGUAAUUUUGGGGAAAUAUUACAUUGUUUAAUAAUGAAUAUUGACAUGAUUUACCCUGAGUUAAAUCAAUUAUAUUUUACUUAUAUUUUCUAUACAAAUUUUAUACAAGCCUAAAUUAAUCAUAUUCAAUCAUAUCAAUCUCAAUAUUUUGAAUAAGAUAAUAAUAUUUUCUUAAAACUAUAACUAUAUAAAGUAUUGUAAAAAUAAUUAUUCAAUUAUACAGCUAUUUUAUUUGUAUAAUUAUAAUUAACAUAACCUUCUCCAUCAUAUAAUUAAAAUUUGUUCAACUUAUAAUUACAACAACUUUCCGUGAAGAAAAGAGAGAGACACAAAUACAAACUAAUGAGAUUAAAUAAAUCUCAAAUAUAAAAUAUUCUUCAAUAAACAUCAUUAAUCAAUCUCAAAAGAAACAAGAAAAGAAAUUCAUAAAUUAAACAAUAAGAAUAUAAUAUAACAAUCCAUUAUUUAAUAAAUUCAAAAAAAAAAAUCACAUUUAUAUUUUAAAUUUUAUUGGUCUAAUUUUAGAUAGGUUUAUAAACUUCAAAUGAUUUAAAAUAUUAGUGUCACGCCCCUAAAUAUAGGAAGGUUCAUUGAAAUGAAUAAAUAAGAAAUGUGUUGACACCAUUUUUUUGAUGAAAACGGGGUUGACUUGGAUUUUGAAAAUGAAAAUUAAAAUGACAGUCGCCACCAAUCCUUUUUGAUAAGGUGUGAUCGGAUCACCUUGAAAAGUGGUUGUUUUUAAUAAACGAUUUAAUUUUAUUAAAACAACGAGUUUGGUCCACGAAAUUCAGAAAAAUGGGUUCGGGAGUCGGUUACGUACGAGGAAGGAUUAGCGCCCUCGUGACGCCCAAAAAUUGGUACCUAGUUGAUUAGUUAAUGUCUUAAUGUCAAAAAUUGUAAACUUUGAAGAAUUUUAAAAAUACGAUCCUUAAUUUUUUUAAAAAGAAAACUUAUAUAAAUCAAGUUACUCGUUAAGACCCUCCCAUUUCAGAAAGAGAAAACGUCACGCCCAAUGCGUUAGGGCACGAUAUUUUACCUCUUCAGAAAUGAGCUUGUCUAAAAACUUACACAAUAAAAUUUUAAAGGGCAUUCAAUUGUUUAAGUCAUGUGAAAAAUUGCAACCCAAUACAUUAGGGCACAAUUUCUCAAAAUAUUAAACAUUGAAUAUUGCAUUUAUUUUGAAAAAUCCUCAUAUCCAAUGCGUUACGGCACAACGUACUGAAUUCUCGAUAAUGAGCUAUUUAUUUAUGUUUUUGUUUUAAAGAGCACCCUCGAUUAUUUAGAUCCAACGAAGAAAAUUGGAACCAAUACGUUAGGGUUCAAUUCUCUCGAAGAUCCCAAAUACCGAGUAUUACUUUUAUUUUGAAAUUUUCCGUUUUUGAUAAAUCCGAGUAAAAAUGGAUGCAAAAUAAUGAUAAUGAUGAUAAUGUAAGUAAAAUAACACGAGCAAAACAAAAUAUAAAUAAAUAAUAAGACUAAUAUAAAUACAAUCGUGCAGGCGCAAUAACAAAUAAGAAACAGAUAAAAACUAAAGCAAGAAAAAUAAUAAUAACAUACAUGUAAAUAAAUAACUGAACAAAAUUAACAAAAUUAAAAAAAAUAUAAAAGAUAUAUUUAUACAUAUAUAUGUAUAAAAUUAUGAAAAUAUUAAAAACAUAUGCAUGUACACAUUUUUGAAGCUAUUAUACAUGAAAAUAUAUGUAAGUAUAUAUGCACAUACAUGAAUACGUAUAGAACCAUCAUCAAAUAUAUAAAAGUAUAUAUAUAUAUAUGUAGGUAUAUAUGAAUCACAAAAUUUAAAGAAUAAUAUAUAUAAGAUAUAUAUUUUGGAAGUAUAAAGAAUAUGUAAGAAUUUAUAUAUACAUACAUUUAUAUAUGAAAAUGAAAUAUAUAGAUAUGUAUGUGGGUAUGUAUAAAUAUUAUAAAAUAUAAAAACAUAUAUGUGUACGCAUAUAUAUAAAAAUAUACAUAUGUAUAUAUACAUAUAUAUUAUGAAAAUAAAGCUAAAAAAAAACUAGUUAGUGUAUUAACAUAAUUGUAACGACUAAAUAAAGGAAAAUAAUAAUAAUAAUAAUAAUAAUAAUAAUAAUAACAUUAAAAUAAUUAACUAAAUAAUAAAAAUUGCUAAAAAAAGAUUAAAUCGAAAUAAAAACGAAAAUACUGGGCAAAUUCGAAAUAAAAAAAACGAAAAGGAUUAAAUUGCUACACGCAUCGAAAGAGGGAGACCAAAACGAUAAAUAAACCAAAGCCCCAAAACGCAGCGCUGCAACGGACUAAAAUGAAACAAAAGGAAAACUAUGUGGCUAAAUUAAAAUAAAAGAAAAUAAUGAAAAAGGGCCAAAUUGCAACUCGUUGCAAAGUCGGAGUGACUACGCGCGCAAAUAUCCCCUUUUAAGAAAACACGCGGAUCCUCCCCCAGGGUCGGGUCACCGAGCGGGUCAGGGCCAAAAUGGCGUCGUUUUGGCACCUGACCCUAAUGACAAAACGGCGCCAUUUCGUUUAGGGUAUUUAAACCUAAUUUUUCCCAAAAAACCUAAUUUCAGCCACCAUUUAAAAAAAAUAAAAAACUUUCUUUUUCUUUCAAAAAUCUGACUUUUGGGGUAAAAUUUUUUACUUUCUCUUGAUAUUUUGCGCGAAUAUGAAUUGUUUUUUUUUAAAAAAAUAUGUAUAAAAAUAAAAAUGAACGGGUAUAAAAAAGAAAAGAGAUGCGAAACUAAAAUCACAUUGGAGUGAAUCUGUUUGUUUUUUUUAAAUCUGUUUUUGUAUUAUUUAAAAGUGUUCUUACAAAAAAUCUAAAAAGGAACCCCCUAAAUUACAGAAAAAUUUGGCUUUUAUAGCCGAUUCUCCCCCCUCAUUCUUUGCUCUGUUGCUUUUCUAUUGCUUGCAGGGACUUGACGCGGUGCAUGUGGGGUGUCGGUGGCAAGUGGGGUGAUGGAACAUCCGACGGUGGCCGUGGCUGCUGGUGAUGCGACUGGUGUGCGGCGGCCAAGAGCUAGGGUUUCAGAAAAGCUGAAACCCUAGUUUGACUGUUGGGGUUGGGAUUUUGGGCCAAUUGGGUUAUUGGGCCUCGAGUUUGGGUUUGUAAUUGGGUUAAUUUAUUUUUUUUGGGUUUUAUGUUUGGGUUUAUUGAAUAUUGGGCUGAGGGUUAGUGGGUUAGGCCUAGGUGGGUUGGUUUGGGUUUUGGGCCCCGGGCUAAAAUUGGGCUUGUACAAAAUGAAUUAGGUUUAAUGGCUAAGUGUUAAAGAAUUCACCUUAGAGACUUAAGUUCGAGUUCCCUUCCUUCCUUUUUAUUUUUGGUAACUUGGUUUUAGGGUAAAGUCACACUCAAAAUAUAUACGACUAGGAAUUAAGAAUAAAUAAGAAAUGGGCAAUAGGUCCAAUGGUUAAGUGUUAAUCCCCUAUCUUAGAGAUCUUAGGUGUAAGUUUCCUUUUUCCCCUCCCAUUUUUCUUUUGGAUUUCGACAAUAAGGGGAAAUUUGCUGUGCCACCCCUAGGGUUUUCAAACCCGAGCUAUUUAAUCAUUCUUUUCCCAUUUGGAUUAGUUUUGCUUCUUUUCAAAUUCUUGUAAAAUUUCUACUCAUAUUAUAUUUCUCUUAUAUUUAUUUUCUUUUCCUUUCUUUUCAUUGUAACACCCUAAACUCGGUCGAAUAGGUUCGACCUAAAUUUGGAGAGCUACAUUAGCCACCGAAGUGACUUUCCAUUAACUCCCAAUCUAACCUCUAACACACCACUUACUUGCAACGUAUAUUAUGAUAAGUUAUAUCAUAACAAGGGUAUAAUAUAAUACAUAUAAUGUAAAUCAUGCAAGCUUAAAACCAAUGUAACACCCCAAACCCGGCUGAGUAGGUUCGACCCAAAUUUGGCGAGUUACAUUAGCCACCGAAGUGACUCUCCAUCAAUUCCCAACCUAACCUCCAACACACCACUUACUUGCAAUGUAUGUUAUGAUAAGUUAUAGCAUAACAGUGAAAUAAUAUCACAUAUAGAAUGUAAAUCAUGCAACCUUAUCAAACAAAAUGAGGGAACGGUUCGCAUGUUAAUUACUACGUAAGGCUACGUAGUAAGGUUAUCGCACCUAAGGGUUCACAAGCAUAUAGGGGGUCACAAACAAACAAAGGUCGCAGAAAAUAACACUUCGCAAAAAAAAUUGGCUCGCGUAUGAUGUUAAUACAUAUUUUGGAAAAAUUGAAAGAAUGCGACAUGGUACUCAUGCUAGGAGAAUUAAAGAAACAUCAAAGUAUAUUCAUGCAGAGAAGAAAUUAGUAAUAAAGGUUUAACUUCAUGGUUCGCAAAAUAUUAAAAGAAUAAACUUAAACUUUAGGGAAAUCGUUUCAUUAACAGAAUCAUAUAAUGAUAAAUCUAAACCUAUAUAAAUAAAACCCCAUCACCUAUUUCCCUAGGUUCGCAUUAUUUGUUCAGAGAUAGCCUCGCUAUUGCCAUUGGCGACUUACUUACCUGCAAAGUAAGAGAAGAGUGGGUGAGUUCAUUGCGAACUCGGUGAAUAAUCCGGAAUCAUCAACGUAUGAUUAAAAUACAGAGUUUAAAAUAGAAAGAAGACUUAGUAUGAAAAACUAUUGUAUCGCGUGUUGGGUUCGCAGUGAAUGCUAGGUUCGCAGUGAAUGUGCGAGACCCAGUUUAUAGAACCUGCUUGUCAUAAAAUCAUAUAAGUUUGAAAAUAGUUUUGCAUGUACUUACUGAAAAUCAUACUUAAAAACUUAGCUUGUUCUUGUUUGAAAAUGGAUCUUUUAUAGAAUGAAACAUGCUCACAUACUUAUCUUAUCGGAAUGGCUGAGGAAUAUAAAAUAUGUUCUUGCACUUUUCUUAACUUACUUAUAUUAUCUUGUCUUAUUUUGUUGGAUAUGUGGAUCUCUUUAUAACGCCUCAGAAUGACUCAAAGAGUCCUUAAGAUGUCCCAUAAGUGUAACAUAAGCUAAACACUCUCUUGUACACCAACAUGUCCUAUUGAAUGGAGCAUAGCUUGGCGUUCCCUUAUCUCUCCACAUGUCCCAAAGCCUCAAUGCCCAAAUCACAAAACUUAUUGGUGAGUACUCACAAUCCUUUGGUAUACAAAUAUAUCCAAUAUAUAAGCUCACAAAGGCACUCGUAUAGAAACUUAGCACAUAGAGCUAGAAAAAACAUAGCUUAUAGAACUGUAUUUUUAAAACAUGCUUUAAAACAUAGGCUUGCAUAGGAGCAUGCGUAACACAUAUCUUUAAAACAUAGCUUAAAACAUAUCUUGAAAACAAAUUAUCAGAACUUUUAAAAACAUAGUUUUAUAGGAAAAAAAACUUACUCUUGGAACUUAGUUUUUAAAAAAAAAAGAUUCUUAGAAAACAUAACAGUUCACACACAAGUUACGAAACCUGAGCAUUCAUACUAAAAAACAUGAUAGUUACCACACUUAUGGCAAUUCUUAACCACUCAUCGAUAAAACUGAAAAUUUAAAUGAGUUUUGCCUUGCCUUUAUCCUUGCUGUAGAUAGUCUGGUUGGUUCGUAACAUGCAUAAACACACAAAUUACUUCAAUAGACAAAACUUACGAACUUCACACAUGCAAGCGAACCUAGCUUUCUGGACAAUAAACCCUAAUAGGAAAAAUGCUUACCUUGGUUGCUACGAAUUUGGUUCAGAACAAAGACUUGACAACAAAAUAACGAUGAAAGAAUUUUUCCUAGAAUAAGGAUUGUAUUUAUAGGCACUAAGUAUCUUAGUGACCUUAGGAUACCCUAUUUGACUUAGGAACCCUCUACGGUUUAAAAGAAGGUUACGUGCACGAAAAGUAUCCUAGAUACACAAUAUAUUUAUUUCCUAAGUUUAGUCUAACUUGACUUUUGAUUGGCGAACCCCUAGUUUGUAACUCAAUUGUUGAACCCCAGCUCACUAAACAGAUUGGAGAACACAACUUUCAAUGAAUCUAGCGAACCUCUUACCACAUCAUUUGGCGUGCAGCAGUUUGCUAGAACACUGGCAAACUCCUUACUGGUAUCCCCUUUGGUGAACCCUAGUUUGCUGAAACACUAGUGAACCCUCACUUGUAAGGUCAAAACUUCUAGAUCAGGUUUCAGGAUGUUACAAACACCAUAUUUUUAUCAUAAUUGUUGUUGAUUAUUUUUCUUUCCUGAAUCAAAUCAUCUUUCAUUAAAUUAUUUUUCUAUUAGUUUUGUAAUUGUCGUCAAUAGCACCUCUAUAUUUGCCAAGAAACAAACCGAAUUUAGGUGAAUCAGACCGAAAUAAAGUGUGAAGAACAUCAACCGGAACUGUGGUGAAAGGUGUGUGUCUUUUCCAAGUGAAUCAGUGGUGAUCUGUGUACGAUUAAGGCCACAUGGGCUAUGCGUGUGGUCCACCAACUACCACACAACCAUGUGCACUUGUAGAUUUUAGGGACUUCAUGAACCAUACGGCCUCAGCCAGUUACACGAUCGUGUCUUUCCUGCAAGGUUUAUCAUUUUCCACAUGGAAUCAUGCUGUUACAUGACCGUCUAACCCUUACACAGGGUCUUACCCUUCUCACAUGGCCUGGCCAUACAGCCGUGUGACCCUGUUUUACAGUUUUGACCAAAAAUUUAUCAUAUGUUCAAUUUAGUCCUCGUUUAUCCCUUGAAUUAUUUUAGAGUUUUCAUUCACUCAAUUAAGUCCUUGAUAUUGUGUUUAUUCUAGAAUCUGUGAUUUAAUGACUAAAUUCCUAUUUUUAUAUUGUAUGAGAUGUGAAUAUUACAUGCCUACUGUCAUUGUAAUACUGAUAAACUAUUAAUGAUAAUAUUGUUACCACCCUAUUGAGUACAUGUUAAGCAUGUCUACUGCUAAUGUUGAACUGAAUACAUGAUAAGCAUGUCUAUUAUUAUUAUUUUUUGUAUUGUUCUAUUACAAAGCAUGCCAUAUUGCAUUGCAUGGGGUGGGACGAUAUGUAUGGAGAAAGGGUGACAGUUUAAUAAUCUGCAACCCAGUGGUGGCUCGUCCACAAACCCAAUGGCAGUUUAUCUGCAAAUGUUUUAACUAAAAAUACUGGUUGUUUAUCCGCAAUUUUUACAACGAAGUGGUAGUUUAUAUACAAAUCAGUGGUGAUUUAUCCACAACUCGGUGUGUAUGGAUGGAUGAGUUCUGGGGAACUCAUAGUGUGGUGUGUAGUGAAGUUGGGUAGGACCUUUUCUGAUAAACUGAAAUUGCAUUGCCAUUCAUAAACAUGUGCAUACAAACCAUGAAUUCUAAAUAUUAUAGUGAAGUGUUGAAUUGGAAAACCGAUAUUGUGAAUUGCUAUACGAUUGUGGUUAUUCUAAGAAUUGUUAUUUCGUAUGCUUUGACCACUAUGUUACACCGAUUUUCUUGUGAUAUGACUCACAUUGAGCUUAAGUUCACCCCCUUUUAAUUUCCAUCUUUAUAGAUAACCCACCAGGUUAGGACAUAGACACAACAUCUGGAAGGUCUUGGCUCAGAUAAAUUUUUUUAUUAAAAGUAUUUUAGACUUAUUAUUAUUUCUAUUAUUUGGAAUUGUAUUGUUUUAUUCAAACUUUGGCACGAGACUUAAGUUUUGAGUUUAUUUGACAUGCAUGAAAUUUAAUUUGAAUAUUAGGAUAUUGAAACAUGGAUUUUAAACUAAUUAUGCAUGAAAUUUUGGUUUCGCCAUCAUUAAAAAUAUUUUGAAUAUCAUUUUUCCGCUACGAUAUUAUGAAAAUAAGAAUUUGAAAAAAGUAAAUGAAUUGGAAAUCAACUUUUACUAAGUAAACUUUAAAAUCCAUUGUUUUUUGGAAACUUUUAUUUUUUAGUGAAAACAUGAUUACACGCAAAGUUUUUCUUCAAUAAUAAGCAAAUGUUUUAAACAACUGUUUUAUAAAAACUCCGAUAGUUGUAGUAGGCCAUUUCGGUAGCCAAUGCAAUCUUUUGAAUUCAGUCUUAACGUUUAGGCCGAGUUGAGGAAGUUACUAUUAGCAACUUAACAUUAAUUUGAACAUUAAAUGUUGGUCCAAACUUGACACGAAAUAUAUUUAGAAUACAUAAAUCAAAAAAUUAGUAAGUUGGCUACUUGGGUUAAUUUAUUGGUUUGACACAACAUAUCCUAUAGUAAUUCAAUGGGAUUAGAACAUCCCAACUCCUAGUUGAUUUAAUUGCUAGGUUAUCUAAGUCCACGCUUGCAAUUAUUGCUUAAAGCAUUUGUUUAAUAAAAUCUUAAAUUCCAAUGGAGGUGCUUUUUCAUAAUAUGAGGUAACCUAAGAAAAAGGAAAAAGUUGAACAUAUUGUUAAGUUAAAAUUGAACAAAUUAAGGCAAAGUGUACAAAUGGAGUGUCAUCAUUCAAAUCGGUCCUUCUCUUAAUUGUCAUAAGCCAAUUAGGUAAGCCAGAUUCUUUUAAUAAAAAGUAAAGAUUUCAUGGCAUCCCUAAAGCAUUGCAAAUUUUUUGUAAGCAUUAAAAUGGCAUUAGUUGGUACAAUACUGGUAUUGAUCUGUAUAUAUUGCUUCGGUUUUGAUCAGUACCAAAUAGUUUAUAUUUCGUUCAAUCAAAAUUUUGUUAUGUUUGAUUAUUUCGGUGUGUUUCGACCUAUUUUGGUCAAUAUCGGCUUGUACUAGCUAGUAUAAAAUUUGAUAUUUUAAACUAAAUUUUAAAAUUUUUUAAUCUUAAUUAUUUUAAUUUUGGCUAAAGGGUCUUCAAAGCCCUUGAACAUUAAAAUUUCAAUCAAUUAAGCCCAUCACACAUUAAAGUUAACGAUCAACCAUGAAAGAGCAACAAUAGCCAUUAUGAGCAAUUGUUUUCACCACGUGGCAUGUUAGACUGUACCACGUGACGAAAUAUGGUGUUUUAAAUUUAAAACCAUUAAAACUAUAGAAAAUCAUAAAAUAUUAAAAAAUUACAAAAGUUAUAAAAUUAUAUAAAAAUGAACAAAAUUAUAAAAAGUAGUAUAAAUGAUACAAAAAUUAUAUAAAUUAUUAAAAAAUUGCAAAAAGAAAACAUUAAAAAUAAGCUUAAAAUAAGAAUAUAUAAAAAAAUGUAAAAAAAAAAAAUUAGAAACUAAGUUUCGGAUACACAGCUCUGGCUGUAUUUUUCAUAAAUAAAAGCUUGGUUGAGAUUUUAGAUUUGGUAUAAAUACAAUAAAUAUAAUAUUUAUAGUAGUAAACAAGUGAAUGAAAUUAAGUAAUUGUGAUUGAGAUUCACCAUGAUUAUAUUUAUAGGAAUAAAAUAUUCCUAUAUAUAAUGAAAGUGUAAUUGAAUAAUAAAAUUCAUAUUAAUACAAGUUGCUUUAAAACAAAAGUAAAUAAUUUGAUAUUGAUCUUGUGAAACAAUUGAAUUUUGGUUUUGUUAUGGGAUUAAAUUAGCAAUUAAUCCUUUUUAAGAAUUUAGAGAACGAAUUAGAUAAGUUAGACAUAAAAGUAGAAGAGUAAAAAGAAAGGAAGUAGUGGGUAGAUUAACAUAAUUAGGAGUUUAAAUGAUAUGAUAAUAAUUAAAGCUUUAAUUUAGUUAAGGUAAUUAGAAAUGUUUGAUCAUAUUUUAGAUGUUAAUUGAAAUUAAACGAGUUAAUAGGUCGAAUACAAGUUUAUAUUUUAGUUAAGAUAAUUAAGAGUUUAACUAGAAUUAAAAAAAAAUAAGAAGCACAUUGAAUCGUCGAUGAAUUGAUUUGAUUCUAAAUCCAAACUCAAGAGAGUAGGAACAUAAUCCAUUGGAAACAACACUUUUAAGUUGUUUAAAUUUUUGAGAAAGAAAAACACUUUCAACCUUUUUUUUAAUCCCCACUCUAUCCACCAACCUACUCGUUGCUUUAUAAGUCAAAAUCGGGAAAUUAAAUAUUACACUAUUACUAAUUCGGUUAAAUUGGUUAAUUCGGUCAAAUGAAUAUUAUCGAUUUUUUGAUAUGUUUUUUUACUUGUUUUAACCAAAAAAAUAAAACAUAUAAAUUUCGGUUAAUUUGAUUAACCGGCCGAAUUAAUCGAAAUAUUUCGAUUUGGUUAAUGGUUAAAGAUACUAAUUCGAUUCGGUUAACUGAUCGGUUAAUUGUUUGAGCACCCCUAAAAAUAAGUCAUGGGACCAACAUACUGACUUCCAUACAAUUGUUAGGUAUAUAUAGCAACUCAUAAGUAUGAGUAGAAUUAGUACGCAGUACCUUAGAUUCAUUGAGCCACAUUUCAAAGUUUCCCAUGAUCUCUUUUGCUGUCAAUGAUAUAAUAAACUUUUUGUAUUCACAAUUAUGUUCACAAUAUAAAACAUAAUUGGUCGACUUGAAUACAAUUAAAUGAGACACUCUAAUGUUCUUUCCUUUUCCUCAAAUCUCUCUAUUUCAAUUCAACUACUCUCUAGAUAUGUCCCGUUAGAUUGAAUCAUACAUGAUCAUCGAUAGCCUACUAAAAUAGCUAAUAUUGAUGUAAAACUUCAAGAAACAGUUAAAGGUCAUGAGGGUACUUAGUAUAGAUCUUCAGUUGAUCUCAUGGGUUUCACACAACAUAGAAGCAGAGAUCAAAUCUUCUAUUACCCAUUUUGUUCGUAUAAUACACAUGUAGUAUGAAACACAUGCUAUGGUAUUACUCUCACUUUCCUUGAAGUGUAUGUCUUUAUCAAAAAAUCAAUACCACAUAGGUGAUAAUUCAAAUACACUUAGUAUCUAACUCGAGUCCACAACUUUAUUUUCUUAAUAGAUUCAACAACAAGACUUUCACCUGGAAUAAAAGACAUAUAAAGUGAAAAAUUCAUAUUUAAAUUAUCAAACAUAAAUCAAAUUGAUUAUAAUUAUAUCAUUUUGCAUAUAGCUCAUGUCGUGCAAGUGCACACUUUAGCCCCAACAAGUUUGGACCUAUGCCCUUCAUGCAUGCAAGGCAAGAUUCCAAACAUAAUCAUUCAAUCAUCAUUUAUGUGGGUUCUCAUAUAUAUACACAUCUCACACUUGGUAUUUAACCAAUGUGGGAUCUAAGCUUUUCUUUUCCUCAACAAAUAUUCACAAGUAGCUUACUUUGAGCACCAAUUUCUCAUUCAUCACUCAACCAUUUUGAGCAUAUGAUAUACUGUUGUAAAGGUCUCAUGGAGUAGAAUAUAAAAUCAUAAUUUUAUGAUUCAACUCUCAACAUUUACCAAUUAAAAAUAUGCCUCAAAGUUCCCAUAAAUUACAAAUUUUCCAACAACUUUUGAAUGCAUUAAUCAUUAUCAACAUUAACUCAAGUGAGGACAAGAAUAUAUUAUUCAACUUGCAAUCCUAGAGUUUUGACAUUCCUUUAAAAAAUCUCUAGGAAUCGGUUUUGUAAACUGAUUUGCAAUCCUCUUAUGCAUAGACUUUCUCUCUUGUUGUGAGAUUUACCUUCACACUUAUUUUUUCCAAUAUACUAACUUUAGAUAUUUGGAGUUUGGAGUUGGUCAAACAGAUGUAAAAGCUACCUUUUCCAAAUGAAAAUCUGGAAUUUACACAGACAAAGUAGAUUUCAUUGACAAAGGUGAAAUGCAUAGUCUGGGCAAGUUAUGAAGAUCAAUUUUAUGAUCUUAAGCGAUUUUCCAGAUAGUGAUAUGCUAUUUUUUUUAAUUAAGAAACUGUUUAGUUUGAUUUAAUCAUAAUUGAUAAAGACCACUUUACUCAUGUUAAAAGAAGGAAAGAAAAUUUUGUAACUAUGUCAUUUUAUGUGGGUGACAUGUUGUUGGCCGCAAAUGAAUUAGUGCUUAUCAUUAUGGGUUAUGCAAGACUACAUGUCAAUUCAUACGAAUGUGUCCUUUUUUCAAUGUUGUGAGUAGCAUCAUAUAUGUUAUGAUGUACAUAAAGCAAAGUAUCUCUUGUAUAGUUGGAUUCAAGACACUCCAAUCCAAACUCAUUGCAAAACAAUGAAAAUGAUAUUGAGGUAUUGAAAAGACACUAUGGAUUUUCACCAUGCUAUCUAAUUGUGAAUACAAAUACCUAUUAAUUAAAAGGAGAUUUAGAUGAAAUAUUGAAAUCUAUCUCCACACAUGUGUUCGUAUUUGAUAAUGGAGUGAACUCUUAAAGUAGUAAGAAAUAAACUUGUAUAGCAUGGUCUAUUAUUGAUGCUGAAAUUGGCAUUUUUAGCGAUGGUUCAAGAGAGUGUUUGGGUUAAAAUAAUCACGAUUAAUAUAGUUACGUUAAAGCAAAAUAUCUUCUAUAGUUGGAUUCAACAUAGUCCAAUCCAAACUUAUUGCAAAACAAUGAAAAUGAUUUUGAGGUCUUUUAUUGUUCUCUCUUGUAUAGUUUGCAUCUCAAGGCACUUUCUUGUUGAUUACGAUGAACAAAAAACGGUUGCAAGCUCUGGGACGAGCAAGAUCAAUAUCUUUAGAGAUCAAAUGAUGGUUAGUAUACAAAUUUAAAAACUAGUUUUUAUAAUUUCAUUUUCAUAUAGUUUUUAUUUAUUUUUUAUUAUAAAUUUUAUGCUUUUUAUAAUAUUUUAUAUGUUUUAGUAUUUUUACAAUAUUUUAAUAACUUUCUAUCUUUUUAAAUAUUUAUUACCAUUUUUAUUUUUAAUUCAAAUAAUUUAUUUUUUUCCAAUUUUCUAUAUUUUAUAAUAUUUUUAAUAAUAUUUUAUAUAUUUAAAUAUUUUUUCAUAAUUUUAAUUUUUUUAAAUUUUUCAUAAUUUAUAUGUUUUUUUAAUUUUUAUUUUAGUACUUUUUAAUGCUUUUCACAAUUUUUAAUAAUUUUUAUAAUUUAUAUUUUUUUUUCGUUUAUAAUCAUUUUUAUAAUUUAUAUAUAUAUCUGCAAUUUUAUAUAUUUUAUAAUUUUUGCAAUUUUUAUAUUUUAUAAAAUAAUUUUGUAAUACUCCAAACUCGGCCUUAACGUUAUGACCAAAUCUAGAGAUGCUAUGAAGAUACAUUAAAAAAAAUCUAGAAUCUGUUGAUUUUAUAAAAUGAUACUUGCCCUUAUUUAGUAAAAUCUGAGUUUAUUUGAGAAAUUUAUCGUUUUGAUGGGUUUGUCAAUUAUUUACUCAUAAAACUAGUCGAAUCCAAUUUGAAAACACGAUUUUUUUUGUUGUUGUAAAAUCCAUUAUUCAACAAUUCAAUUUUCAACCCACCAACGAGGAAAUCACACAGGACUUCCUGCUAACCUACCAUCUUUUUUCAAGAGUUCAAACCCAAUCCAACACCACCAACUCGACAGCACAUUAAGGGCUAACAAAAAUAAAUUAGAGACUCAAACGAUAAAUUAACAUCUUAUCGUUGAACUAGUAAACUCAUUCUAUCACAAAUUGAUCAAAAAUAGUAUUUAAGUGGUAAGGAACAAGAUAAGGAUAAAAGACAAAAAUAAUAAAAUUUCUUAAAAAUGAGAUUUGAACCCUAAUCAGUAAAACAAAUACUUAUUCAUGACAUAAAUUAACAAAUUAAAAAUUCAUAUUUUUGGGUCUUAAAAGUUUUUAAUAAAUUAUAAUUACUUGAUUCCAGUUUCUUUAUUAUGCCCAAAUUUAAGAUUAAGCCCUAUAUUUUAAUUUUGACAUAAUUUGAUUUAUUUAUUUUUAUAAUGUCAUUAGUUAUCUUAAAUCGCUAACAUUAUUAGCUAUGCCAAGUAAAAUAACAUCGCGUAUUUUUUUUCUUAAAAUCAUCACUUCUAACUAAAUAAUGGCUUAAUCACUUUUUUAACUAAUUAUACUAACAUAGAUUUUUUUUAGUUGGAACGAGUAUGUUUAAGGAAAAAUCACCUCAACACUUUACUUGAAAUUAGUAAUCACAUUAAUUAUUUGGACUAACUAAAUCAUUACUGAAUCACCUUCUAACUAAUUAUAGUAAUGUAUAUAUUUAAGAAAAAGCUCACUUUAAUGUUUUAACUGAAAUUAUUAACCGUGUUAAUUACUUAAACUAACUAAUGAAAAAUAUUUCAAAUUAAUUUAUACUGAAUAACUCUCAAAUCCAAGUAUAAUAAAAUAAUAUGACUAACUCAAACUUGGCGUUGAAUUGAGUUUGGGAGUAAAAUAAUCACAUCACUCAUUGGCAAAGCAUGACUGUGAUUAUGAUAUGGUUUUUCGAAGUAUAACUAUGGUGGAGUUGAUAGCAUUGAUUAGAAUACCUUUAUAAAUGAAUAUAUAACAUUUAAUCAUGUAUAUAUUUUUAAUAAUUUAAUAACUUAAAAAAACACCACACUUUAUUAUAUAUGUAAAAUGUAAAUAGAAGCUACAUUCUUAUUUCAUGAAAUAACAUCAUAGAGAAUGUGAUGGCAGAGUUCAUUCUCAGUAAUAUAUGUGAUACUAAUUAGGAAUCAAACUGUCUUCAAUGGCUGGAUGGAGGUGGAGGUGGAGGUGGAGACAUGAAAGGAAUGGAAGGCAAGCUGCUACUGGGAAGUGGUGGAAGAACAGUGAUAGGCUUAGGCUAAGAUGGUGGGAUUGUUGGUAGCUUCGGGAUUCAAGGCAAUGGAGGUAUGCAGGGUUGAGCUGAGAAUGAUGGUAGAUCUAGGAUUGAAGGCAAUGGAAGUAUGUUGGGCAACUUACGAAGUGGUGGUAGUUCUAAGUUCUGGGAUUGAAGGAAAUGGUGGUGGUUCUGGGAUUAAAGGAAGUGGUGACAUCGGAGGUGGCAAUGGUACCGGUAAAUAUGCAGAUGGCAAUGGUACUGGUAAAAAUGGAGGUGGCAAUGGUAUUGGCGACAAUGGAGGUAGCAAUGGUACUGGUGACAAUGGUAUUGGCGACAAUGGAGGUGGCAAUGGUAUUGGUGGAAAUGGAGGUGGCACUUGCUGAAGAUUUCGGGUUGCUAGGCUAACCUCCAUGCUUGAAAAACCCAAGGAAAUGAAGCAGGCUAAUAAAAUGAAAACGUUGGAAGCUGCCAUUUUUUUUUGGAGAGAUGAACUAAAGAUUGAAGAUUUGAGUUGAGGAAAGCAGGAUUGGUUUCGGGUAUUUAUAGCCACAUUUGAAGGAGUUUUUUAAUUAUUUGUUUGAGAUAUUACUCCCCUACUUAGCUUACUACCUUC
This 16537-nucleotide long non-coding RNA is filed under the name Gossypium barbadense (sea-island cotton). RNAcentral describes it as "long non-coding RNA (GBAR_LNC014561)". Lineage: Eukaryota; Viridiplantae; Streptophyta; Magnoliopsida; Malvales; Malvaceae. The record is from RNAcentral.